Molecule: small RNA, 19 nt
Filed under: Arabidopsis thaliana (thale cress)
Lineage: Eukaryota; Viridiplantae; Streptophyta; Magnoliopsida; Brassicales; Brassicaceae
Description: ATSL192100
Source: RNAcentral
UUUCUUUGAUAAUUUUUUU